Molecule: non-coding RNA, 196 nt
Filed under: Myxococcales bacterium
Lineage: Bacteria; Pseudomonadati; Myxococcota; Myxococcia; Myxococcales
Description: 6S RNA
Rfam family: 6S / SsrS RNA
About the family: E. coli 6S RNA was the first non coding RNA to be sequenced, but its function was unknown until recently. It consists of 184 nucleotides that fold into an extended hairpin structure with a large single-stranded internal bulge. The 6S RNA specifically associates with RNA polymerase holoenzyme containing the sigma70 specificity factor.
Source: RNAcentral
UUACCCCUGCGAUUCGCGUCAGGGACGAACAUGGUUGAAUCCCUAACGGCAGAUUUGGGAUCUGUCCCUGAUUGUAGUGUGCAAGCCUGCCUGGCUCUCGGGCCGGAUAGUAGGAAGCCUAAAGCAGUCAAUACCCUGAACCCACCUUACUUGGUUGGGGUUCGACCGCUCGUCCCAACGGUUUCGCGGGGUCGUC